GUAGUUUGAUCCUGGCUCAGAGCGAACGCUGGCGGCAGGCUUAACACAUGCAAGUCGAGCGGGCACUUCGGUGUCAGCGGCGGACGGGUGAGUAACGCGUGGGAACGUGCCCUCUGGUUCGGAAUAACUCAGGGAAACUUGAGCUAAUACCGGAUACGCCCUUUUGGGGAAAGGCUUGCUGCCGGAGGAUCGGCCCGCGUCUGAUUAGCUAGUUGGUGAGGUAACGGCUCACCAAGGCGACGAUCAGUAGCUGGUCUGAGAGGAUGAUCAGCCACACUGGGACUGAGACACGGGCCCAGACUCCUACGGGAGGCAGCAGUGGGGAAUAUUGGACAAUGGGGCGCAAGCCUGAUCCAGCCAUGCCGCGUGAGUGAUGAAGGCCUUAGGGUUGUAAAGCUCUUUUAUCCGGGACGAUAAUGACGGUACCGGAGGAAUAAGCCCCGGCUAACUUCGUG
RNAcentral lists this ribosomal RNA (455 nucleotides) under uncultured Methylobacterium sp. RNAcentral describes it as "bacterial SSU rRNA". It matches the Rfam family "Bacterial small subunit ribosomal RNA", at positions 9 to 507 of the family's 1533-position model. Lineage: Bacteria; Pseudomonadati; Pseudomonadota; Alphaproteobacteria; Hyphomicrobiales; Methylobacteriaceae. The record is from RNAcentral.